This 465-nucleotide ribosomal RNA is filed under the name Vreelandella stevensii. RNAcentral's name for it is "partial 16S ribosomal RNA". It matches the Rfam family "Bacterial small subunit ribosomal RNA", at positions 338 to 795 of the family's 1533-position model. The record is from RNAcentral. Lineage: Bacteria; Pseudomonadati; Pseudomonadota; Gammaproteobacteria; Oceanospirillales; Halomonadaceae.
CCUACGGGGGGCUGCAGUGGGGAAUAUUGGACAAUGGGGGCAACCCUGAUCCAGCCAUGCCGCGUGUGUGAAGAAGGCCCUCGGGUUGUAAAGCACUUUCAGUGAGGAAGAACGCCUGGUGGUUAAUACCCAUCAGGAAAGACAUCACUCACAGAAGAAGCACCGGCUAACUCCGUGCCAGCAGCCGCGGUAAUACGGAGGGUGCGAGCGUUAAUCGGAAUUACUGGGCGUAAAGCGCGCGUAGGUGGCUUGAUAAGCCGGUUUUGAAAGCCCCGGGCUCAACCUGGGAACGGCAUCCGGAACUGUCAAGCUAGAGUGCAGGAGAGGAAGGUAGAAUUCCCGGUGUAGCGGUGAAAUGCGUAGAGAUCGGGAGGAAUACCAGUGGCGAAGGCGGCCUUCUGGACUGACACUGACACUGAGGUGCGAAAGCGUGGGUAGCAAACAGGAUUAGAUACCCUGGUAGUC